This 333-nucleotide ribosomal RNA is filed under the name uncultured bacterium. Its description in RNAcentral is "partial 16S ribosomal RNA". It matches the Rfam family "Bacterial small subunit ribosomal RNA", at positions 338 to 686 of the family's 1533-position model. The record is from RNAcentral.
CCUACGGGUGGCAGCAGUGGGGAAUAUUGGGCAAUGGGCGCAAGCCUGACCCAGCAACGCCGCGUGAAGGAAGAAGGCUUUCGGGUUGUAAACUUCUUUUAAGAGGGAAGAGCAGAAGACGGUACCUCUUGAAUAAGCCACGGCUAACUACGUGCCAGCAGCCGCGGUAAUACGUAGGUGGCAAGCGUUGUCCGGAUUUACUGGGUGUAAAGGGCGUGCAGCCGGGAAGACAAGUCAGGUGUGAAAUCCCGGGGCCCAACCGCGGAACUGCAUUUGAAACUGUGUUUCUUGAGUACCGGAGAGGUCAGCGGAAGUGCUGGUGUAGCGGGGAAA